This 465-nucleotide ribosomal RNA is filed under the name uncultured Klebsiella sp. RNAcentral describes it as "bacterial SSU rRNA". It matches the Rfam family "Bacterial small subunit ribosomal RNA", at positions 338 to 795 of the family's 1533-position model. Lineage: Bacteria; Pseudomonadati; Pseudomonadota; Gammaproteobacteria; Enterobacterales; Enterobacteriaceae. The record is from RNAcentral.
CCUACGGGGUGCUGCAGUGGGGAAUAUUGCACAAUGGGCGCAAGCCUGAUGCAGCCAUGCCGCGUGUGUGAAGAAGGCCUUCGGGUUGUAAAGCACUUUCAGCGGGGAGGAAGGCGGUGAGGUUAAUAACCUCAUCGAUUGACGUUACCCGCAGAAGAAGCACCGGCUAACUCCGUGCCAGCAGCCACGGUAAUACGGAGGGUGCAAGCGUUAAUCGGAAUUACUGGGCGUAAAGCGCACGCAGGCGGUCUGUCAAGUCGGAUGUGAAAUCCCCGGGCUCAACCUGGGAACUGCAUUCGAAACUGGCAGGCUAGAGUCUUGUAGAGGGGGGUAGAAUUCCAGGUGUAGCGGUGAAAUGCGUAGAGAUCUGGAGGAAUACCGGUGGCGAAGGCGGCCCCCUGGACAAAGACUGACGCUCAGGUGCGAAAGCGUGGGGAGCAAACAGGAUUAGAUACCCUAGUAGUC